Molecule: non-coding RNA, 4799 nt
Organism: Triticum urartu
Lineage: Eukaryota; Viridiplantae; Streptophyta; Magnoliopsida; Poales; Poaceae
Source: RefSeq, a predicted model, not a curated record
CGGCAACGGCAGGCACAUCCUUCCCCACAGACUUCGCCGCGCCCCCGCCGCCUCUUCCUCUUCGAUUCCCCAAUCCCCCCCGCUUCCCCGUCUCCGUCUCCUCCGCCGCCCCAAAAAUCUUCCUAAAUUGCCAGUCUUCGCACCAGCCGGCGGAACCCUAGCUCUGGAGCUGCUGCCAGAUCAGGGCGGCGGAAUCGGCGGCUCCUUCCCUGGCGCCGCACUUCGGAGGCCUGCGCCGCUCGGCGCGUCCCCCGUCCGCGUCUUUCCUCCGGCCACACCUUCAGGAUUCGCGCCGCUCCGCCUCCGGCCCGAGGGCUUUGGAGGCUUGCUCUUGCUGCCGUCUCUCAUCUUGGCCCUUCUGUCGUUGAUGCCCCGAUGCAAUUGCAGCUGUCCUUAUGCAAUGCAAUUCAUCCACGAACACAAUUGAUUCUGAUUCGUGCACCAACUACUAUUCUAUGCAACUAGUAUCUGCUGUUAGAUGUCAAUGGACCAGCAAAACUUCAGAAAAAUAUAUUCUUGAGUCUGAAAUGUCAUUUCCAUUGUCUCUGAUGCAUGGUGGUCGGCGGUAGUCACCUCUACCUUCUGUCGCAGCGUAUCCAGGGCAUAAUGUCGUUGUAGUCAAAGAGCUGCUAUUCUUUGUGCACGUGUUGGACGGAACUGAAGGCGUCGAGCGCUCUAUGGAAGCAUCCAAUCUCGCCGCUCUGCCAACUUCGCCUGAACGCCGACUGCCAAUGCUCCAUAUACCGUCAUACAAUCUUGCCAUUCUACCUACUUCACCGGAACACCGACCGCCGGUGCUCCAUCUGAGACGAUGGGUGUUGAACUGCUAGAAUAUUUAUGCCCCUUUGCAACACAUGGGCAUAUGUGCUAGCUUAUUCCAAAAGAGAAAAACAUUGGUACUAUGUUGAUAGCGAGGGUGCAAGGCUCAAGGGAAGCAGUUACAAAUUCAAUUCAACAUGUCAGUUGAGGAAGCUGCUGAGUUAGCAUGGUGGGCUAUUUACCAUUCAAUAUUCCAUGACGGAGCUAGUGGUGGCUGUGUUAGUGGCGGUGUUGUUAACCACUCGUUUUCUUCAACAUGAACAUCAUCUUGGUCGGCCUAUUAACCAAGAAUGUGUUUGAUCCACGCCAUAUGCGUAUUUCCAUCCAAAGUAGAUGAAUUUAUUUGAACCGAGAAAGAGGGCACAGGAUUGAUCCAAUUCACAUCGAUGAUCCUCUUUGCCCUGCUAACAAUGUGGGCAGGAAUUGUUUCCGGGUCCACCAAUGCAUCAAGGCUUUUGCUGAUGCUUUUGCUGUUCUAGAAAACGAGCUACUGCAGUUCAGUGCAGAAUGUAACAUGCCUGCAUCAUCAUUUAGCCUACUGAAGGAAAUAAUUCCAAGUAUUGAUUCUAAUGAGUUGUAGCAAUGGAAAGAGCCUGUGAUUCCACAAGCUACAGGAACUGUUGGGUUGGAAUGGCCUCUGCUGUGUCUAGACACCGAGUUACUUACUGCAGCUGGUGGAAAAGGCUUGUUCGAAGGUACAAUGCCAGCUGCCCUUCUCUCGCCUCUGGCUGCUUAGAACCCGAGACCGUUGAUUGAGGUAUUAGGCCGAAUUGGAUGCAAGAGCAAGAUGGUGCUGCACUCUGCACACAGAAGAUCCUUAACCUCGUGCCGGUGGUAUGUGCUGCCAAGGAUGCGGAAAUGGAAUCGCCUAAUGACGUGUGCUGCCAGACCUAUAAGGUCACUGAGGAGCAGUACAGCAGGUCCGCACAGAACUCCAGAUCCGGAGGAGCACUCGGGAUAAGCUCUAGCAGAGGCUCUACAUGUUUCCUGAAUCAUCUGUUCUCUGAACCUUAGGAAAUGCCUAAGGAAAAUCAGAACAUCCUGGAACAAGUUCUUUGUGCUUUUGGCAGUCAACAUCAGCUUGUGGAACAGGAAAUGGAGAAAUUCUACGAAGGAGGCUACCUGUGUUCGGAAACAGAGUAGGAAGCAACUCCUACUUGGAGCUGGUACAAGGCUUGAUACUGGAAGUGGUGUCCGGUGUAGCAAAGCGAUUUUCAGAUCGUCGUUUCUCCGGAACAGCAAGAUUGUUCCUUGAACACACCAAGAGGGUAACUGCCAUGAUUACUGCCGUGAUCUCGAGUACCAGAUUCUUCGUUGCAGUUACUCGCCAAUGGGAUUGCCGAGCUACUCUUCAGUUACAGUCAGAGCAAUCUUUAUGGCAUCAGGGACAUGGUCAGGUGACGGCGUUGGCUCGUCUUAUAAAGGCAGACUUCGUUUCCUGCAGCUGAUGAGAUUCAAGUUGCUGCUUUUGUAGCGAAGCACACUUCGGUUCCUGCUUUUGUAGCGAAGCAGAUUUAAGUUACCGCUUUUGUAGUUUACUCCAACACAAAUUUGAAACUAGCAUGUUCUUGAUUUGCUGCGCUGAUGUAGUGAUGUUCUUGCGCUUUCUUUCUUGUGCAAGUAUCGAUUUUUGCUUUCUCUGUCACAAGCUAUUCUCAGAACUAAGAAUUCUUUACAAAAUUACACAUGUAGUAGAUGUUAAUGUGAUAUGUACACUUUGCAUUUCUUCCUUCUAAAGUAACUAGUAAAUGUGUAGAUGCAAUGCACGUUAAUAUUAGGCAGUAUAUUAAUUGCGCGGAUAUUAGGUAGGAUAUUAUUUACGUGUUAAUUAUAUGUUUAGCACAAUAUAUGGUAUGGUAUUAAUUACACGCUAAACGUGUUGAGCUCUCGACAUUAGAGCAGUCUAGGUCGUUGGAUUGACUUGGGUUGACGGCCAAGAUUAGUUGGAUCUGCCACUUUGGGUCUUUUUAUAUUGGUAUAGAUAUAGAUAUAGAUACACAUUUUGUGUGACAAGAGGACAUUCGUGGUGGGCUAACAAGGCCACUUUCUGUGCACAAGGCCACUUUCUGUGCACAAAUUUAUUUCCUGUCAUUCACUAGCAAUAAAAAUGCAUUAUGUUGCACCAUUUUUCUUUCUUGUUGCAAAUGUGGACAUUACCAGUUAGAAGUCCAUUUCAAACUAACAACCCUUAAACUCACUUUGGUUUAAAAUCUUUGAGAUACUAAGCUCCCUCUAUUUGAGCAUGUUCUACAAGGCAUUGCUUAGUUUUUAGUUUUUUAUUACUUUAUUUCUCUUUUGGUUUUAAUAUUCUUUUUUAUUUUUUAUUUUGAUUUUUUUGACAUUUGUAUUCAUGAUUUUUUUAAAAAAUCAUGACAUUUUGAUUUGGAAUCUACACUUUUUUAACUUAAUUACUGUAUCCUGUUUCUGUGAGAUAUUUGUUUCUGUAUAAUAUAUUCUAUUUUAAUGAUCGGCUCACAUGAAUGUAGAUAUUUGGCCAGCUUUGAGUUUCAAACUUCAGUAGUCGCAAUGGAAAAAUAAAAAUUUAUCCCUUGCCCCUCUUCUUAGCAAGUUCAUAUUUUUAUUUGAAAUUGCCACUUAUGCUACAUUUUUGCUGUUUUGUAUUUGGCAGAAUCUAGGUAGCCUUUUGAUGGAUUUCCUGUAUUGUUUGUGUGUAAGUGAGUAUGCAUGAACACUUUAUUGUUUAAAACACAAGGGAAAAGAUGAGUGCCUGAUGUGGAAAAAGCGUGUAAAGUAUGCUAGAAUGACUAGGACCCUUAUGUAUGGUUUCUCUUUUGGGAUAGCUAAAUUAGCAAUAUAUUGGUGCGUCUGACAUCUAACCGCUUUCAAACAUUCUGGAUGACAGGAAUGUGUUUGAUCCACACCAUAAGCGUAUUUCCAUCCAAAGAGGAAUUUAUUUGAACCGAGAAAGAGGGCACAGGAUUGAUCCAAUUCACAUCGAUGAUCCUCUUUUCCCUGCUAACAUUAUGGGCCGGAAUUGUUUCCGGGUCCACCACUGCGCCAAGGUUGGCUCAAAUUAUCUUUUCUGGACUGGUUGAAUCCUUCUGUUCUUGUCUAGAGCUUUUGGAGUUGUGGCAAUGCUGUGAUUAUGCUCUUUUAUCUGAUAUAUAUUUGAUCCUUAACCUCCUGGCGGUGGUAUGUGGUGCCAAGGAUGCGACAUGGGCAUGGACACGGUCAUGGAGGAGCAGUACGAGCAGACCCGCACAGAACGCCUGACCCGGAGGAGCGCACAGGAUAAGCUCUAGCAGAGGCUCUGCAUGUUUUCUGAAUCAUCUGUUCUCUGAACCUUAGAAAACCGCUGAAGAAAACAGGAACUAUAUCCGUAUGGAGGGCCAAGUCCUUCGUGCUUUUGGCAGUCUGCAUGAGCUUGUGGAACAGGAAAUGGAGAAUUGCUAUGGAGGAGGCUACCUGACUUGAUGCUGGAACUGGUGACCGGUAUUGGCGGAGCAAAUUUCGAAAUAGAUGUUUCUUCCGAAGAGCAAGAUUGUUCCUUGAACACACCAAAAGGGUAGCUGUGAAGAUUACUGCCAGGAUCUGAGUGUCAGAUUCUUCGUUGAAGUUACCCGCAGUGCGAUUGCUGAGUUGGUCUCUUUGAGAAACAAGUCAGGGCAAGUUUAUUGAUAUGAUGUGCAAAAUUACAAGCACGAUGAACACCACACCAUGCAGAGCAUCAGGAAGAUGAACAGGCGAAGCUUCAGGCGAUGACUGACAAGGUUGGUCUGUCUUACAAAAACAGGCUUCAGUUCCUUCGACUGAUGAGAUUCAAGUUACCAUAGCUUUUGUAGUGAAAGCAGACUUCGGUUCCUGCAGUUGAUUGGGUUUAAGUUACCGCCGCUUUUCUUGUGUACUACCAACACUAAUUCAUCACUAGCACGUUGUUGAUUCACCGCGGUGAUGUUCUUCUGUUUCUUUCCUGUGCAAGUAACCAUUAAUACUACGUAUUAUCGAAGUACCUUCAUUGA